GCGGUCCGGCGCGCCGGAGCCGCCCGCGCGGACGCCGACAGAAGAGGCGAGGCGGGGAGCUCGAGCGGCGGCCACUGCCACGUCUUCCCGGCAGUGGCGGCGGCGGCGCAGGAGGAGGAAUAACCCGAGUCACCUUUCCUGGAAAUCAGUUUGCUGAAACUAUUGAAACAGCAGUUCUUGAAGAAAAGUGGCAGGGCUUUGGACUCCUCACUUGCAAAAUUGGAGUAAUCAUUUUAUCCGGGGCUCCUUCACUGGAAGGUACAGAGACCCACUGGAGCCAGCUCAAGUUCAAAGAGACGUCUAUCCUAAGAGUCAGAAACAGGCCAGCAUAACUCAACUCAGGAGUCUGUAUAGAGCUGGGCCUUGCCGGGGCUGUGCUGGAAAGGAGAUUCUGCACCCUGACCAGAGGAGCGUGACCCUUCCUUCAAAUCCCUCUCCGGACGCACCCUCCUAGCAUCCCCUAGGAAAGAUGCGGCAGCUCAAGGGGAAGCCCAAGAAGGAGACGUCCAAGGAUAAGAAGGAGCGAAAGCAGGCCAUGCAGGAGGCCCGGCAGCAGAUCACCACGGUGGUACUGCCCACGCUGGCUGUGGUCGUGCUGCUGAUCGUGGUGUUCGUGUACGUGGCCACGCGCCCCGCCAUCACCGAGUGAGGGACCUCCCCCCCAGAGCGGAGGCGCGGGAGGGGAGAGCAGAAGAAGAAUGGCUUUCAUCUGCAGAGAUUUUCCUGAUGCUGAGCUCUGAGCCAGAGGACCCUGUCUUCUCUGGUCUGUGACUUGAUUAAAGUUUCUCCACUUCUCUUGGGAGGGAAUAGGGAACGCUUUAUCAGUGAAUGUGCCACACACCUUAUGGUCCACUUCAUGUGCCUUUCAGACUUCAAAGCCGUGUGUGUGUGUGUGUGUGUGUGUGUGUGUGUGUGUGUGUGUGUGCGUGUGCGCUUCUCGCCUACAAUCGAUAUGUAGCUCCACCUGGUGAGAGGAGGAAUCUCUGGGUCAUGGAUCAGUUGGAAUCAGUGCUCACCCCAUCCCCUUUGCUUUGAACAUGACUCUUUGCUACACGUGUUCAUGAUUUCCAAAGGGACUGUAUUUCUUCUCUGUGCUUCAUGUGAUUUGAAAUAUGUCGACUCAAAAGUGAAAUAUUUAUUUUUUGAAUAAAGGAGAUAAUAGCCUU
RNAcentral lists this long non-coding RNA (1166 nucleotides) under Phocoena sinus (vaquita). RNAcentral describes it as "lncRNA (ENSPSNG00000014753.1)". The record is from RNAcentral. Lineage: Eukaryota; Metazoa; Chordata; Mammalia; Artiodactyla; Phocoenidae.